Long non-coding RNA from Amphiprion ocellaris (clown anemonefish), 668 nucleotides. The record is from Ensembl. NCBI's taxonomy places the organism in Eukaryota, Metazoa, Chordata, Actinopteri, Pomacentridae.
UUUCUGUCUUUUCUCCUGUCAUCCAGAUGUUCAGAGGGAGAUGAUGCCACAUCUGGUCCAGCUGAUGGAAGGUCUUGAAGUUCUCUGACUGGCCUCGACUGAAGAUGGUCGUCUCACUGGAUUUAAGAUGCACAAUGAGGGACGUCUGCAGAGACUGAGAAAGAGUCUCACCACAUCCUGACAUGAGGAAAAAGACUUUAUUGAAGACUACAAUGAGAAAAACUAUCAGACAGCAGACGGCUGCAUUCAAGUCUGUAGCUGCUGAAUUCAUGGAUGAACCAUCUGGCACUAGAGAGGAAGACCAUCAAACAUCCACAUCAGCUGAUGGAGGUCCAAGAGUCUCACCAAACAAACAACCUACAGAGUGAAGACCUCAAAUCUGAUUGGAUGGCCUCCUAUUCAGCCACGUGUGAACAAAUGCCUCUAAGUUGAUUUGUUUUCUAAAAUAAAUCUAGUUUGAGUCCUAAUCUAUGCCUGUGUGUUUGCUUCUUUACACCGCUGUUAACAGUUUAGGCUGUUAGAUUGUUCCAGAUAAGACAAGUACAAGAUUCUUCAGAGCCGUUCUACCACGAGCCUGACAGGAAGAACUCCAACAGCUACUGAAUGUUCCUGUGGUUCCCUCAAGGCUACAGGAGGAGCCCUACGAGGACAAGAAGGUCCACCUGAUG